AUACAGAGGGUGCAAGCGUUAAUCGGAUUUACUGGGCGUAAAGCGCGCGUAGGUGGCUAAUUAAGUCAAAUGUGAAAUCCCCGAGCUUAACUUGGGAAUUGCAUUCGAUACUGGUUAGCUAGAGUAUGGGAGAGGAUGGUAGAAUUCCAGGUGUAGCGGUGAAAUGCGUAGAGAUCUGGAGGAAUACCGAUGGCGAAGGCAGCCAUCUGGCCUAAUACUGACACUGAGGUGCGAAAGCAUGGGGAGCAAACAGGAUUAGAUACCCUGGUAGUCCAUGCCGUAAACGAUGUCUACUAGCCGUUGGGGCCCUUGAGGCUUUAGUGGCGCAGCUAACGAGAUAAGUAGACCGCCUGGGGAGUACGGUCGCAAGACUAAAACUCAAAUGAAUUGGCGGGG
Molecule: ribosomal RNA, 396 nt
Filed under: uncultured bacterium
Lineage: Bacteria
Description: partial 16S ribosomal RNA
Rfam family: Bacterial small subunit ribosomal RNA
Source: RNAcentral